RNAcentral lists this ribosomal RNA (746 nucleotides) under Enterococcus sp. H293. RNAcentral's name for it is "bacterial SSU rRNA". It matches the Rfam family "Bacterial small subunit ribosomal RNA", at positions 45 to 766 of the family's 1533-position model. The record is from RNAcentral. Lineage: Bacteria; Bacillati; Bacillota; Bacilli; Lactobacillales; Enterococcaceae.
UGCUAUACAUGCAGUCGAACGCUUUUUCUUUCACCGGAGCUUGCUCCACCGAAAGAAAAAGAGUGGCGAACGGGUGAGUAACACGUGGGUAACCUGCCCAUCAGAAGGGGAUAACACUUGGAAACAGGUGCUAAUACCGUAUAACACUAUUUUCCGCAUGGAAGAAAGUUGAAAGGCGCUUUUGCGUCACUGAUGGAUGGACCCGCGGUGCAUUAGCUAGUUGGUGAGGUAACGGCUCACCAAGGCCACGAUGCAUAGCCGACCUGAGAGGGUGAUCGGCCACACUGGGACUGAGACACGGCCCAGACUCCUACGGGAGGCAGCAGUAGGGAAUCUUCGGCAAUGGACGAAAGUCUGACCGAGCAACGCCGCGUGAGUGAAGAAGGUUUUCGGAUCGUAAAACUCUGUUGUUAGAGAAGAACAAGGAUGAGAGUAGAACGUUCAUCCCUUGACGGUAUCUAACCAGAAAGCCACGGCUAACUACGUGCCAGCAGCCGCGGUAAUACGUAGGUGGCAAGCGUUGUCCGGAUUUAUUGGGCGUAAAGCGAGCGCAGGCGGUUUCUUAAGUCUGAUGUGAAAGCCCCCGGCUCAACCGGGGAGGGUCAUUGGAAACUGGGAGACUUGAGUGCAGAAGAGGAGAGUGGAAUUCCAUGUGUAGCGGUGAAAUGCGUAGAUAUAUGGAGGAACACCAGUGGCGAAGGCGGCUCUCUGGUCUGUAACUGACGCUGAGGCUCGAAAGCGUGGGG